RNAcentral lists this ribosomal RNA (729 nucleotides) under uncultured bacterium. RNAcentral describes it as "bacterial SSU rRNA". It matches the Rfam family "Bacterial small subunit ribosomal RNA", at positions 771 to 1500 of the family's 1533-position model. The record is from RNAcentral.
AACAGGAUUAGAUACCCUGGUAGUCCACGCCGUAAACGAUGUCGACUUGGAGGCUGUUCCCCUGAGGAGUGGCUUCCGGAGCUAACGCGUUAAGUCGACCGCCUGGGGAGUACGGCCGCAAGGUUAAAACUCAAAUGAAUUGACGGGGGCCCGCACAAGCGGUGGAGCAUGUGGUUUAAUUCGAUGCAACGCGAAGAACCUUACCUACUCUUGACAUCCAGAGAACUUUCCAGAGAUGGAUUGGUGCCUUCGGGAACUCUGAGACAGGUGCUGCAUGGCUGUCGUCAGCUCGUGUUGUGAAAUGUUGGGUUAAGUCCCGCAACGAGCGCAACCCUUGUCCUUUGUUGCCAGCGAUUCGGUCGGGAACUCAAAGGAUACUGCCGGUGAUAAACCGGAGGAAGGUGGGGAUGACGUCAAGUCAUCAUGGCCCUUACGAGUAGGGCUACACACGUGCUACAAUGGCGCAUACAAAGAGAAGCGACCUCGCGAGAGCAAGCGGACCUCAUAAAGUGCGUCGUAGUCCGGAUCGGAGUCUGCAACUCGACUCCGUGAAGUCGGAAUCGCUAGUAAUCGUGGAUCAGAAUGCCACGGUGAAUACGUUCCCGGGCCUUGUACACACCGCCCGUCACACCAUGGGAGUGGGUUGCAAAAGAAGUAGGUAGCUUAACCUUCGGGAGGGCGCUUACCACUUUGUGAUUCAUGACUGGGGUGAAGUCGUAACAAGGUACC